UGGAAGUAAAAGUCGUAACAAGGUCUCCGUUGGUGAACCAGCGGAGGGAUCAUUACCGAGUUUACAACUCCCAAACCCCUGUGAACAUACCUAUACGUUGCCUCGGCGGAUCAGCCCGCGCCCCGUAAAACGGGACGGCCCGCCCGAGGACCCCUAAACUCUGUUUUUAGUGGAACUUCUGAGUAAAACAAACAAAUAAAUCAAAACUUUCAACAACGGAUCUCUUGGUUCUGGCAUCGAUGAAGAACGCAGCAAAAUGCGAUAAGUAAUGUGAAUUGCAGAAUUCAGUGAAUCAUCGAAUCUUUGAACGCACAUUGCGCCCGCCAGUAUUCUGGCGGGCAUGCCUGUUCGAGCGUCAUUUCAACCCUCAAGCUCAGCUUGGUGUUGGGACUCGCGGUAACCCGCGUUCCCCAAAUCGAUUGGCGGUCACGUCGAGCUUCCAUAGCGUAGUAAUCAUACACCUCGUUACUGGUAAUCGUCGCGGCCACGCCGUUAAACCCCAACUUCUGAAUGUUGACCUCGGAUCAGGUAGGAAUACCCGCUGAACUUAAGCAUAUCAAUAAGCGGAGGAA
Molecule: ribosomal RNA, 572 nt
Filed under: fungal endophyte sp. SX08
Lineage: Eukaryota; Fungi
Description: eukaryotic LSU rRNA
Rfam family: 5.8S ribosomal RNA (bases 205-358)
Source: RNAcentral